CGAAAAUCCGUUGGUUUCAUGGGACCGUGAGGGUUCGAAUCCCUCUAUCCC
This 51-nucleotide transfer RNA is filed under the name Hypodematium boonkerdii. RNAcentral's name for it is "partial tRNA-Leu". Lineage: Eukaryota; Viridiplantae; Streptophyta; Polypodiopsida; Polypodiales; Hypodematiaceae. The record is from RNAcentral.